UGGUGGAGCGAUUUGUCU
This 18-nucleotide non-coding RNA is filed under the name Arabidopsis thaliana (thale cress). The record is from RNAcentral. Lineage: Eukaryota; Viridiplantae; Streptophyta; Magnoliopsida; Brassicales; Brassicaceae.